Molecule: ribosomal RNA, 255 nt
Filed under: uncultured bacterium
Lineage: Bacteria
Description: partial 16S ribosomal RNA
Rfam family: Bacterial small subunit ribosomal RNA
Source: RNAcentral
UACGUAGGGGGGCAAGCGUUGUCCGGAUUUAUUGGGCGUAAAGCGCUCGCAGGCGGCUUGCUACGUCGUGCGUGAAACACCCCGCUCAACUGGGAGGGUGCGCCGAAUACUGAAUGACUUCGAGUGCGGGGAGAGGAAAGUGGAAUUCCUGGUGUAGCGGUGAAAUGCGUAGAUAUCAGGAGGAACACCGGUGGUGUAGACGGCUUUCUGGACCGUAACUGACGCUGAGACACGAAAGCGUGGGUAGCAAACAGG